AAGAAAGUAGAAAAGGGCGCAUGGAGGAUGCCUAGGCUCUUGUAGGCGAAGAAGGACGUGGUAAGCUGCGAUAAGCACCGGGGAUUGGCAAACUCGAAUUGAUCCGGUGAUUUCCGAAUGGGGCAACCCGGCAGGCUGGAGGCCUGUCACUCGACUUCGGUCGAGGGCAAACCCGCUGAACUGAAACAUCUAAGUAGGCGGAGGAGAAGAAAACAAACGUGAUUUCCUUAGUAGUGGCGAGCGAACGGGAAGUAGCCUAAACCGUAAUUGUUACGGCAAUUGCGGGGUUGUAGGACUGCGACAUACGAGUAUGAACGAACAAGAAUUGAUCUGGAAAGAUUGACCAUAGAGGGUGAUAGUCCCGUAUUGGUAAACCUCAUACAAGUUAGCAGUAUCCUGAGUAGGGCGGGGCACGAGGAACCCUGUCUGAAUCCGCCGGGACCACCCGGUAAGGCUAAAUACUCACAAGAGACCGAUAGUGAACCAGUACCGUGAGGGAAAGGUGAAAAGAACCCUGAACAAGGGAGUGAAAUAGAACCUGAAACCGUGCGCUUACAACCUGUCGGAGCAGCUUCGUGCUGUGACGGCGUGCCUUUUGCAUAAUGAGCCUACGAGUUACUAAUCACUAGCGAGGUUAAGGACUGGGAAGUCCGGAGCCGAAGCGAAAGCGAGUCUGAAUAGGGCGUUUUAGUUAGUGGUUGUAGACGCGAAACCUUGCGAUCUACCCUUGACCAGGUUGAAGUUCAGGUAAAACUGAAUGGAGGACCGAACCAGUUAACGUUGAAAAGUUUUUGGAUGAGUUGAGGGUAGGGGUGAAAGGCUAAUCAAGCUGGGAAAUAGCUCGUACUCCCCGAAAUGCAUUUAGGUGCAGCGUUAUAGUAGUUUACCGGAGGUAGAGCUACUGGUUGGAUGCGGGGGCUUCACCGCCUACCAAAUCCUGUCAAACUCCGAAUGCCGGUAAUAUGGUCUAUAGCAGUGAGCGACCGGGUGCUAAUGUCCGGUCACGAAAGAGGAACAACUCAGACCAUCAGUUAAGGUCCCCAAACAUACACUAAGUUGAUAGAACGUGGUAGAACUGCAGCGACAGCUAGGAUGUUAGCUUGGAAGCAGCUAUUCAUUUAAAGAGUGCGUAACAGCUCACUAGUCGAGCGGUUCUGCGUGGAUAAUAAACGGGCAUCAAGUGUAUUACCGAAACUAUGGACUCUACGGAGUGGUAGGGGAGCAUUCUAGUUGCGUCGAAGCCGUAUGGUAAUGUAUGGUGGAGCGGCUAGAAAAGCAAAUGUAGGCAUAAGUAACGAUAAGGCGGGCGAGAAACCCGCCCACCGCUAGACUAAGGUUUCCUGAUCAACGCUAAUCGGAUCAGGGUUAGUCGGGACCUAAGGGUAAGCCGAAAGGUGAUCUCGAUGGACAAUCGGUUAAUAUUCCGAUACUAAUAUAUGUUUCGAUGGAGAGACGGAGGAGCGUAAGUUGCGCGCACUGACGGAAUAGUGCGUUAAAGGGCUUAGGUAUAGGGAUUGGUUAAUAGCCAGUCUUUGCUGAAACCUGACAGUACAGAGAGCCUACGGGCAAUUUGAUAGUCAACCCAAGCCGACUUCCAAGAAAAACUUCUAAGGUUAGGCAUAUAUUACCCGUACCGCAAACCGACACAGGUAGUCAAGGAGAGUAUCCUAAGGUGCUCGAGUGAUUCAUGGUUAAGGAACUCUGCAAAAUAACCCCGUAACUUCGGGAGAAGGGGUCCUCAGGUGACUGAGGCGCAGCGAAGAGGUCCAGGCGACUGUUUACCAAAAACAUAGGGCUAUGCUAAUUCGUAAGACGACGUAUAUGGCCUGACACCUGCCCGGUGCUGGAAGGUUAAGAGGGGAUGUCAUUCCGCAAGGGAGAAGCAUUGAAUCGAAGCCCCAGUAAACGGCGGCCGUAACUAUAACGGUCCUAAGGUAGCGAAAUUCCUUGUCGGGUAAGUUCCGACCUGCACGAAUGGUGUAACGAUCUGGACGCUGUCUCGACCAUGAGCUCGGUGAAAUUGUAGUCCCGGUGAAGAUGCCGGGUACCCGCAACGGGACGAAAAGACCCCGUGAACCUUUACUAUAGCUUAACGCUGAAUUUGGGUGCAAAAUGUGUAGGAUAGGCCGGAGACUAUGAAGUGGGUACGCUAGUAUUCAUGGAGUCGACGUUGAAAUACGGCCCUUUUUGU
Molecule: ribosomal RNA, 2191 nt
Filed under: Alistipes sp. OttesenSCG-928-L06
Lineage: Bacteria; Pseudomonadati; Bacteroidota; Bacteroidia; Bacteroidales; Rikenellaceae
Description: partial 23S ribosomal RNA
Rfam family: Bacterial large subunit ribosomal RNA
Source: RNAcentral